CGGGUGAGUAAUAUAGUCGGAACGUGCCAGUCGUGGGGAUAACGUAGCGAAAGUUACGCUAAUACCGCAUACGAUCUAAGGAUGAAAGCGGGGGACUCGCAAGAGCCUCGCGCGAUUGGAGCGGCCGAUAUCAGAUUAGGUAGUUGGUGGGGUAAAGGCUCACCAAGCCAACGAUCUGUAGCUGGUCUGAGAGGACGACCAGCCACACUGGGACUGAGACACGGCCCAGACUCCUACGGGAGGCAGCAGUGGGGAAUUUUUGGACAAUGGGCGCAAGCCUGAUCCAGCAAUGCCGCGUGCAGGAUGAAGGCCUUCGGGUUGUAAACUGCUUUUGUACGGAACGAAACGGUGAGCUCUAAUACAGUUUGCUAAUGACGGUACCGUAAGAAUAAGCACCGGCUAACUACGUG
Molecule: ribosomal RNA, 410 nt
Filed under: uncultured bacterium
Lineage: Bacteria
Description: bacterial SSU rRNA
Rfam family: Bacterial small subunit ribosomal RNA
Source: RNAcentral